This 1993-nucleotide long non-coding RNA is filed under the name Danio rerio (zebrafish). RNAcentral describes it as "lncRNA si:dkey-29h14.11 (ENSDARG00000097388.2)". The record is from RNAcentral. Lineage: Eukaryota; Metazoa; Chordata; Actinopteri; Cypriniformes; Danionidae.
CGUCUGUGAAAUAGAGCGCGCCACCUGCUGUCCGGAGUUCAUUUGAGCUUAGAGGUUAAAGUCGCUGUGCUCUUGAAAUCAAGACAUUUCCAGUCAACGACGAUUAUAAGUGAGGAGCUCCAGACAGUCACAGCAAACACCCUCCGCCCAGCCUCGUCUGCAGCUCACAGCUGAGUGUAGGAUGUUUACAGCGACUACACUGGAAGAUGAAAGUUUACCACACAACACUCACGACAGCUCAGCAGAUCCAGAUGCCACACCUGUCAACUCUUUAACACAAACAAACAAACAAAACAUGUACACUGUUCUUUCUUAAUAAUGUGUAAUUGGGUUAUGUAACAUUUAAGACGCAAUACUGUUUAAUUACACACACACACGUGAUAAAGUAAUACAAGGCGACAGAACUGGACGAUGACAGCAAACAUCCAACUGAAAGCUCGUUUUCCGCGUAGCACAGCUUCCAGUCGGGGAUGUUUACAGGCAUGAACAACCAGUUAUACCCAUAUACAGCACACACAACACAGAUAAUGCCAUACAAACAAACAUGUGUGAUGAUAAACUGACUGCAAAUCAAAUAAAUCAACGAAUAAAUAUCUAUGUGGUGGGUUUGCUGCCCCCUAGAGGUCAAAUGAGAAUUAAAAAUACAGCAAAAGCCGAGUUGAAAGUUAAAGGUCCUCUCUCCUUCACGUCAAUGACAAAGAGACCGCGAUGAGGAUGAAGACCUUGUAAAUCUGCAGUGUCUAUUCACACAUUUUAAUAACAACGACAACGUAAAAUGUGUGAGUCUACCCAAAAAAUAUCUUAAUAUUUAAGUUAUUAAAAAACAUCAACAACAGCUGGAUAAAGUGCAAUCUCUGCACAGGAGCAUCUCCAUAAAUAACAGCCAUAUGCAGCCCGAGUUGAAAUGUAAAAACACUCGUAUUUGCACACUGACAUUGGUUCAACCUUGUUUCUCUGCUUGGGAAAAAGAAUUGCGGGACGGUCUCGGCUACUAAAUACCGCACCGGAGGAGUUGUAAUAAUAAGAAGAACUUGUACUAAGUAAGCCUGUGUGUUGCUACCAGCUACCAAGUUGAGUGAAGAGGAAGCAAGCAGUCAAGCCGUAGCAGCUCUGCAUUUUUCCCGCACAAGAAGCGAUUUGAACGCGAGCAGGCGUCUAACACAACACUGAUAGUUAGCAAAAGUCAUUCUGCUUUUACUCGGAACAACACGGCACGGCUAACUAACGGUAGCUUUGCUCUACAGCUCUGCUCCAAUUUGCAGACAAAACUAGCAUGGACUGUCCUUCCCGCCGCACCAGUACCUCGUCACAUAUGGGUAUCCUGUUCGAAUUAAACAAAGCGCCGCCGUUCAAGAGAUAACGCGAUUAAACCACAAUUAUUACUGUGAUUUCCUCCGGCUUUUGCAGCAGAAAAAAAACCCUUUAGUCUCCGCCAUUCCGAGCCUGUUUCCUUCCGUCUCUGGCUUGUCUUUAGUUUGACCUUUAGUUACCCGACACUAAUAUUGACGUAAUUGUCAUGGUAACAGGAUCCCGCCUUCUACGUGCGGCCGUGUGCGUCCAUGAAAGUUGCUGAUGAUGGAGGAAAAAAGCCUGGAUUACAAGAAAUCUCUUGUCAUUGUGAUUAAAGAUAACAGCUUUAAUAUCAUCGAAACGAUGCGUCAUUGAUAUUCAAACUUUUUAUCAUCCCACUAAUACUUGUUUAAAUUAUUAAAACUAUGGAAAGCCUUUUAACGUUUGCUUUUAAUUCUCUAAUUUCAUGCUACUGGUAUUCUUUACUGAUACAUUUUCUUUUAAAUGGUUAUUUUGUUUCUAGUAGCCUACCUUUUACGUGAUAUUGGCACUUUUAAUUAGAUAUUAGGUGUCAUUGUUUUACUAAAAGACAAGUUAUCCAUUAGGUACUAUAUUAUGCACUAUUAAUCAUUAAUUUACUACUUGUUAUUGUAAUUCUUGUUUUAAGGCACUCGUGGUUAUUCAACAGUAGCUCUUAUUUAUU